This is a non-coding RNA of Cinara cedri, 234 nucleotides long. The record is from the annotation of a GenBank genome assembly. Lineage: Eukaryota; Metazoa; Arthropoda; Insecta; Hemiptera; Aphididae.
AGAAUAUUGUAUUAGUCGUAUUGUUUUCGUUCUUGCCGAGGUAACUAAGAAAUUAACAAAAAAAAAAAAAAUGUUCGGGUUUUCCGACUAUUAAUAAAACUACAUGGAAAAUCAAAAAUGCUAGUAUAAAAAAAAAAAAAGAAAAGGUUUCUCUAAAGUUUUUGAUAAGAGCAACAUUUAUGUUAGAAAAGUGGUUUACAGACACAAAAAGUCAAAUGAAACGAUAAAAACCGC